GACGAACGCUGGCGGCGUGCUUAACACAUGCAAGUCGAACGGAAAGGCCCUGCUUUUGUGGGGUGCUCGAGUGGCGAACGGGUGAGUAACACGUGAGUAACCUGCCCUUGACUUUGGGAUAACUUCAGGAGACUGGGGCUAAUACCGGAUAGGAGCUCCUGCUGCAUGGUGGGGGUUGGAAAGUUUCGGCGGUUGGGGAUGGACUCGCGGCUUAUCAGCUUGUUGGUGGGGUAGUGGCUUACCAAGGCUUUGACGGGUAGCCGGCCUGAGAGGGUGACCGGCCACAUUGGGACUGAGAUACGGCCCAGACUCCUACGGGAGGCAGCAGUGGGGAAUAUUGCACAAUGGGCGGAAGCCUGAUGCAGCAACGCCGCGUGCGGGAUGACGGCCUUCGGGUUGUAAACCGCUUUCGCCUGUGACGAAGCGUGAGUGACGGUAAUGUGUAAAGAAGCACCGGCUAACUACGUG
Molecule: ribosomal RNA, 468 nt
Filed under: uncultured bacterium
Lineage: Bacteria
Description: partial 16S ribosomal RNA
Rfam family: Bacterial small subunit ribosomal RNA
Source: RNAcentral